AGUGUAGAUGCCCCAAUGAGGAGGUGUUGGGAGGUUGGCAAUAGCAGGCAUCAGGAGAGAUAGAGGCAGGCCAAAGAAGUAUUGGGGUGACGCGAUUAGACAGGACAUGGCACAUCUAGAGCUUACAAAGGAUAUAUCUUUUGGAUAGGAGGGUUUGGAGGUUGCAAGUCAUGGUAGAAGAUAAGAUGAUAGUUGUUUCUCUUGCUUGCACGCUUACCU
Molecule: long non-coding RNA, 219 nt
Filed under: Solanum tuberosum (potato)
Lineage: Eukaryota; Viridiplantae; Streptophyta; Magnoliopsida; Solanales; Solanaceae
Description: long non-coding RNA (STUB_LNC004708)
Source: RNAcentral